Molecule: non-coding RNA, 132 nt
Filed under: Micromonospora sp. ATCC 39149
Lineage: Bacteria; Bacillati; Actinomycetota; Actinomycetes; Micromonosporales; Micromonosporaceae
Description: Bacterial large subunit ribosomal RNA
Rfam family: Bacterial large subunit ribosomal RNA
Source: Rfam by way of RNAcentral
UUCAAGAUGAGGUAUCCCACUCUACUUUGUAGGGGUAAGGCCCCCAGCUAGACGACUGGGUUGAUAGGCCGGAGAUGUAAGCUCGGUAACGGGUUGAGUUGACCGGUACUAAUAGGCCGAGGACUUGAUUAC